This is a non-coding RNA of Ixodes scapularis (black-legged tick), 223 nucleotides long. Lineage: Eukaryota; Metazoa; Arthropoda; Arachnida; Ixodida; Ixodidae. The record is from Rfam.
UUCUGGGAGGAUUGACAGAUUCAGAGCACUUUCUUGAUUCGGUGGAUGGUGGUGCAUGUCCGUUCUUAGCUGGUGGAGCGAUUUGUCUGGUUAAUUCCGAUAACAAACGAGACACUAUCCUAUUAAAUAGGUGCGUGGUUUUCUGCACCUUGCACCAUUAGAGGGAUAAGCAGUUCCUAGCCGCGCGAAAAAGAGCAAGAACAGGUCGGUGAAUCCCUUACAU